Long non-coding RNA from Limulus polyphemus (Atlantic horseshoe crab), 531 nucleotides. RefSeq lists it as uncharacterized. NCBI's taxonomy places the organism in Eukaryota, Metazoa, Arthropoda, Merostomata, Xiphosura, Limulidae. The transcript is spliced from 4 exons. The record is from RefSeq and is a predicted model, not a curated record.
GUAUGGCCAACCUGUAGCAGGAUCUUUAAAGAUUAGGGCUUCAUACUUAACAUAUCACUGGGAGAAAGAACCUCCAGCUUCUGUCGAACAUGAGACACAGAUUGCGGGCUGCUACAACUUUUCUGCUAAUGCUUCUGCUUUGGAGUUUUACAAAAAUCGUUAUUCAUAUAGAGGACUUAAAUUGACUGCACAGGUCAUUGAAAAAGGAACAGGAAUUGAUGCGAAUGCUUCAAAUGUAAUCUAUCGAACCUUCUCUCCACUGAGUUUUGUGUAUUUAGAGGAAUCGCAGGGAGAGCAAUUUCUUAAACCUGGACUUCCAUUUCAUGGAACAUUGAAAGUAGAAAACCCUGACCACACUGUAGCAGCUGGAGAAAAGGUGCAAAUUUGUUCAUAUGCAGAACUAGAACAUUGGACCAGUAGCAGAUGGAUUGAUGAAAGAAUUAAGAACUGUAAAGAUUUCCUUAGUGAUGAAAAUGGUAUAAUUCGUUUCACCAUCUUGCCUCAAGGCCAAGAAGUUAUUCGUCUGAGAAU